Molecule: unclassified non-coding RNA, 235 nt
Filed under: plant metagenome
Description: partial contains small subunit ribosomal RNA and internal transcribed spacer 1
Rfam family: Eukaryotic small subunit ribosomal RNA (bases 1-46)
Source: RNAcentral
AAGUCGUAACAAGGUCUCCGUAGGUGAACCUGCGGAAGGAUCAUUAUUGUACAACGGAGGUGUGAGGGCUGUCGCUGACCUUUCAAAGGUCGUGCACGCCCAAGCACUUUCAUACAAUCCAUCUCACCCCUUUGUGCAUCACCGCGUGGGUCCCCUUUGCGGGAGGGCUCACGUUUUCACACAAAACUCGAUACAGUGUAGAGUGUUCUUUUGCGAUCACACGCAAUCAAUACAA